UAUCGAAAGAUAAGAGAUUCCUAAACCAUGCCUCUAUGUUUAUAUUCGACAUCUUCAGCGCCCCCGCGAAGCUCACAUCUCGCGGAAGAACUCUCGAAACAGAUCUCGAAUGAAACAUUUCACAGUCGAAGAAGGAUAUGAGACGACAACUCAUCGCCUUCCUUCCCACAUUACACAAACUCAUAAAAAGUGCCAUUUGAUUAUCUUAUCAUAAAAAGCCGCAGAGCGGCA
RNAcentral lists this long non-coding RNA (231 nucleotides) under Brassica napus (rape). RNAcentral's name for it is "long non-coding RNA (BNAP_LNC004245)". Lineage: Eukaryota; Viridiplantae; Streptophyta; Magnoliopsida; Brassicales; Brassicaceae. The record is from RNAcentral.